GCAUUGAUCAUGGCUCAGAUUGAACGCUGGCGGGAUGCUUUACACAUGCAAGUCGAACGGCAGCACGGACUUCGGUCUGGUGGCGAGUGGCGAACGGGUGAGUAAUGUAUCGGAACGUGCCUAGUAGCGGGGGAUAACUACGCGAAAGCGUAGCCAAUACCGCAUACGGCCCUUCGGGGGGAAAGCGGGGGACCUUCGGGCCUCGCACUAUUAGAGCGGUCAUCGGAUUAGCUAGGUUAGGGGUAACGGCUCGACUAAGGCGACGAUCCGUAGCUGGUUUGAGGAGGACGACCAGCCACACUGGGACUGAGACACGGCCCAGAUCACGGGAGGCAGCAGUGGGGAAUUUUGGACAAUGGGGGAACCCCGAUCCAGCCAUCCGCGCGUGCGAUGGAGGCCUCGCCAGCAAAGCACUUUGGCAGUGAAGAAACGGCACGGGAUAAUACCCCCGUGCAACUGACGGUACCUGCAGAAUAAGCACCGGCGACCACGUGCCAGCAGCCGCGGUACGUAGGGUGCAAGCGUUAAUCGGAAUUACUGGGGCGUAAAGCGUGCGCAGGCGGUUCGGAAAGAAAGAUGUGAAAUCCCAGAGCUUAACUUUUGAACUGCAUUUUUAACUACCGAGCUAGAGUGUCAGAGGGAGGUGGAAUUCGCGUGUAGCAGUGGAAUGCGUAGAUAUGCGAGCACAUCGAUACGCCGGCGGGCGCAGCUUCCUGGGGAUAACACUGACGCUCAUGCACGAAAGCGUGGGAGCAAACAGAUUAGAUAAUUCUGGUAGUCCACGCCCUAAACGAUGUCAACUAGCUGUUGGGGCCUCGGGCCUGGGUAGCGGCAGCUAACGCGUGAAGUUGACCGCCUGAGGAGUACGGUCGCAAGAUUAAAACUCAAAGCGAAUUGACGGGGACUCCGCACAAGCGGUGGGAUGCUGAUAUGCGGAUUUAAUUUUGAUGCAACGCGAAACCUGCCUACCCUUGACAUGUCUGGAAUCCCGAAGAGAUUUGGGAGUACAAACAGAACUGAACACAGGUGCUGCAUGGCUGUCGUCAGCUCGCCGAGAUGUUGGGUUAAGUCCCGCAACGAGCGCAACCCUUGUCAUUGGGUUGUUGCUGAAAGUGCACUUCAUCGAGACUGCCGGUGAGAACCGAGUGAAGGUGGGGAUGACGUCAAGUCUUGGCUCAGCGGUAGGAAGCCAUAUCGUCAUACAAUACGCCCGACAGAGGGUCGCCAACCCGCGAGGGGGAGCCAAUCCUAGAAACCCGAUCGUAGUCUGAUCGCGUUCAACUCGACUGCGUGGGGCCGGAAUUGCUAGCAUCGUGGAUCAGCAUGUCGCGUGUGAAUACGUUCCCGGUCUUGGUACACCGCCUGUCACACCAUGGAGUGGGUUUUACCAGAAGUAGUUAGCCUAACCGUAAGGAGGGCGACUACCAUGGUAGAUUCAUGACUGGGGUGAAGUCGUGGUAAGGUAG
RNAcentral lists this ribosomal RNA (1466 nucleotides) under uncultured Bordetella sp. RNAcentral describes it as "partial 16S-23S ribosomal RNA intergenic spacer". It matches the Rfam family "Bacterial small subunit ribosomal RNA". Lineage: Bacteria; Pseudomonadati; Pseudomonadota; Betaproteobacteria; Burkholderiales; Alcaligenaceae. The record is from RNAcentral.